AUGGGAUGUUAUAAUGAUUGCCUGACUUGCGACAUUGCUUUCAAUGCGGUUAUGUCUCUAAGUCAUGCCUCGACACGUGGGAGCUAUAGCCGCAUCGAGGGCGUUACAUUCUUGAACUGUACCAGCAUAUUUAUCAAAGAGAAGGCAGAGGUACAACCUCCCCUCGCGGACAAAGAUGUGCCUGUGGUUUUCCUCCCAUGGUACCAGAGAGUUGUGUACUGGUGGUAUUUGAACCAUAAUCAAUGCCUCCAAGUCUUGAACUGGCCUGCCAACCUCAUCAAGCACAAUGAAUCCCUGUUCUACAACGACGCCCAUGAGCACAUUGGGUAA
This 330-nucleotide ribosomal RNA is filed under the name Triticum aestivum (bread wheat). RNAcentral describes it as "partial small subunit ribosomal RNA". The record is from RNAcentral. Lineage: Eukaryota; Viridiplantae; Streptophyta; Magnoliopsida; Poales; Poaceae.